UUAUUUAAUAAAAAAUAAAACCUGCCCUCUGAUUUUUUAAUUUAAAGGCCGCAGUAUUUUGACUGUGCUAAGGUAGCAUAAUCAUUAGAUUUUUAAUUGUAAUCUUGAAUGAAUGGUUUAAUGAGAUAAAAUCUUUUUUAUUAAUAAUAUAGAAUUUUAUUUUUUAGUUAAAAAGCUAAAAUAAUUUAAAGGGACGAGAAGACCCUAUAGAAUUUUAUAUUUUUAAUAAAAAUUUUAUUUUUAAUAAUAUUUUAUUUUAUAUUAAAAAUAUUUUAUUGGGGCGAUAAUUAAAUUUAAUUAACUUUUAUAAAAUAUUCAUUAAUUAAUGUAUACAUGAUCUUUUAUAUUGAUUAAAAAUUUAAAUUACCUUAGGGAUAACAGCAUUAUAUUAUUAAAAAGUUCAUAUUUUUAAUAAUGUUUAUGACCUCGAUGUUGGAUUAAAUAAAAUUAUUAUAUGAAGAUAUAUAAUAAAUAAGUCUGUUCGACUUUUAAUUAUUUACAUGAUC
Molecule: ribosomal RNA, 506 nt
Filed under: Mayetiola hordei (barley stem gall midge)
Lineage: Eukaryota; Metazoa; Arthropoda; Insecta; Diptera; Cecidomyiidae
Description: partial 16S ribosomal RNA
Source: RNAcentral